Molecule: unclassified non-coding RNA, 240 nt
Filed under: Hevea brasiliensis (rubber tree)
Lineage: Eukaryota; Viridiplantae; Streptophyta; Magnoliopsida; Malpighiales; Euphorbiaceae
Source: RNAcentral
UGCGGAUAGGUUGUGAACUCAUGUGAGUACUGCUAUAGUACUAACAAAUUUUAAAUUAUGUAGUAGCUUGAUCUCUAUUUUCGGCAGCCAAAUGCCACAUGAACAUACCAUACCUAAGAAGUUCCACCAAGUGUUAUUAAUUCACAUUUUGUACAACAACUUUUGAUGAUUUGCUUACUAACAGUUAGACUUUUUAAUGAUGUUUAAAGGCUGGUACAAACUAAAAUGAAUUGCAGCAGA